RNAcentral lists this ribosomal RNA (350 nucleotides) under bacterium enrichment culture clone ALO1_GLFRUDD03HCAXG. RNAcentral's name for it is "bacterial SSU rRNA". It matches the Rfam family "Bacterial small subunit ribosomal RNA", at positions 9 to 355 of the family's 1533-position model. The record is from RNAcentral.
GAGUUUGAUCCUGGCUCAGAUUGAACGCUGGCGGCAUGCCUUACACAUGCAAGUCGAACGGCAGCACGGGAGCUUGCUCCUGGUGGCGAGUGGCGAACGGGUGAGUAAUGCAUCGGAACGUAUCCGUGGAGUGGGGGAUAACGUAGCGAAAGUUACGCUAAUACCGCAUAUUCUGUGAGCGAGGAAAGCGGGGGACCUUCGGGCCUCGCGCUCUUGGAGCGGCCGAUGUCGGAUUAGCUAGUUGGUGAGGUAAAGGCUCACCAAGGCGACGAUCCGUAGCAGGUCUGAGAGGAUGAUCUGCCACACUGGAACUGAGACACGGUCCAGACUCCUACGGGAGGCGAGCAGGU